UGACGGGGGAAACUGGGGAAGAUGGGGUGCAGGAGGAGAGUUUGGAGGGGCCAAGGAGCACCUUGGCCGUCAGGGGUCUGGCGAGAGUGGUGAGGGUGGAGGGGCUGGCUCAGGCAAGCUGGAUAGACUGGGAGAAGCACGGAAGGGUGGCAGGGACGGGUCAUGGGGCAGGGCAACAUCAGCCUGAGAGUGAAGGGCCUGAGCCAGGGUCGGAGAGGAAGGGGAAGCCAGACAUUCAUCCCGGUCACUUUUGGUUACAGGACGUGGCGGCUGGUCGGACCAGGGGAGCUGCUGGGCAGGGUGUGGCCUCAGGGCUGGGCAGUGGAGGUAUAGCUGGCAGCAGUGGGCAGGUGAGGACACCACUCUACUGGGCAGGUGAGUCCCCUUUCCAUCGCUGGGCCUUGCUUCACCCUCUCCUCUUCCAGAAAGAGGUUUAGGGGAGCGAGGGCCAGGGAGGGAAGAGGCUGUCCUCCCAGAAGUGUGGCAGGGCAAAGGCAGGACAGUUAGCAAAGGUGACAUCUUCUCGGGGGGUGCCGAGAGCGGACAAGGCUGGGGGGCUGUGGGCCCAUACCAGGUAGAAAGAGUUCUUCAAGAGAGCAGGACAGGAGAGGCAGAAGCUGCCAGUGAAAUCCAUCACAUGCCAGGCCUGGGGCAGAUGGGGAUGAGAUAGGGCACAGGAUGCAGAGGGGUCCCCAGCCGCCACCACACCCACCGCAAUUCACUUAGUAGAAGGCACAGGAGUGGCUCCGGCAGAGCCUUCUGAGGCUGUGCUGGAGCCUCGAGGGCCGGAGAGCGGGAAAGAAGGGCAGUGCUCAGUACAAGCAGGACAUCACCAGGAGGGAGCAGCGGCUGCUUGUGGUGGGCUCAGAGAGAGAACGCAGCAAGGAGGCUGCAGCGAGCCCAGCUACAAGCACACUGUUCCCAUGAGGCACUGCGGCCCAGGGGCUGACGCGGAAUGGGCCCACAGUGGACUUAGCGACACUGUAUGCCCUCACCGCUCAGCCCCUGGGUCUGGCACGACAGACAGUACAGCAUCCACGGGAGUCAAGGGCAUGGACGAGGCCAGACUAGGCGAGGCAGGUGGGGCAGAGAGAAUGAGAGUUUCAGGAGUGAGGUUGGGCACAGGCAGGGGAGAAGAGUAGCUGCCAGGUGGCGAGCCAUGGGCACUGGCCUCCAGAGCCCGAGGCCAUGGUGGGCCUCGUGGGCAGCGACGGAGCAGUGAUCGGUGCCUCUGUGCUUGCGCUGGUGACAAGGCCAAGUCUCCAGUAGGUGGAUGUUCCCGCCAGCUGCUGAAGGCCAGGACGCAAGGUCAGACAUGCUGGAGGGACAUGACAUGGUCUGGUGUGACGACGAGGACAGAAAGGGUGCUGUCCGGCCUUCCUGGACACUCGCGCUGGCAUCGCGGGGAUGCUGCAGUGAAAAGCGGGUCUGUUCCUUUACUUUGCCAUUGGAGUCUUCACACAACUGCUGCUCUCUGGACCCCUAGAUCCCACAAGAUGACAAGAAAUGGUGCUACCCAGCUCACGUCUGGGCCUUGGAACCCGGGACUUCUUCAAGUCUGUCUAGCUCUGAACCAAGUGCAUGCUGCAUUCCAGAACCACUACACUGCCCACUCAGGAACCGGCUCCAAAGGUAGAGCUGAAGGAACAGUACGCCACCAACCCGACCAGGCAGACACCAGCAAGAGCAGCACCCGCAGCACCCCACCCAAUUGGGACAACUCCAUCUGCAUGGCCACCCCUGCCACACCAUCUCCGGCGGAACAGCCCCCCACACCUCCUCCUCUGUCCUUCUUCACCCUUUCCUAUGAAUUCUUCUUUCUGUCUUUCCUUUGCUUGAGAGACUCGAAGCCCCUGCGGCUCCGUCCCCUUCGCCCCCUGAAUUCAAUUUGCACUAAGUCGUUUGCACUGGUUUGGGGCCGGAGGCAGCCUCAAGUCUCUCCGUAUGAGUGUGUGUGCGCGUGGCGGCCUCCUUGGCCAAUGCCGUGCUGGCACCUGCCUGCCCGUUCACCUGUCUGGGGGCGCCUGGCACGGCCGAAUGUCUGAGGUCCCACCACCUCGCCUAGUCCAAAGCUCCAGAACGAGGAGCAAUCUUCAUCCUUCCACAGGCCCGCCCAUGCCCCUCCCCCCACCCGGGGCUUCAACAGAAGCCUCGGCGUCAUCAAUAAACACAGUUACCGCAA
This is an RNA transcript of Nycticebus coucang (slow loris), 2182 nucleotides long. RefSeq lists it as uncharacterized. Lineage: Eukaryota; Metazoa; Chordata; Mammalia; Primates; Lorisidae. The transcript is spliced from 5 exons. The record is from RefSeq and is a predicted model, not a curated record.